This 245-nucleotide ribosomal RNA is filed under the name uncultured bacterium. Its description in RNAcentral is "partial 16S ribosomal RNA". It matches the Rfam family "Bacterial small subunit ribosomal RNA", at positions 524 to 767 of the family's 1533-position model. The record is from RNAcentral.
UACAGAGGUCACAAGCGUUAUCCGGAUUUAUUGGGCGUAAAGCGUUUCGUAGGUUUCUUAUUAAGUUGCUCUUCAAAGACCACGGCUCAACCGGGGGAAGGGGAGUAAGACUGGUAGGAUUGAAUGGUGGUGGGGCUUCUGGAACUGGUGGUGUAGUAGUGAAAUACGUUGAUAUCAUCAGGAACUCCAAGGGCGAAGGCAGGAAGCUAACCAUCUAUUGACACUGAGGAACGACAGCUAGGGGA